This 253-nucleotide ribosomal RNA is filed under the name uncultured bacterium. RNAcentral's name for it is "partial 16S ribosomal RNA". It matches the Rfam family "Bacterial small subunit ribosomal RNA", at positions 524 to 776 of the family's 1533-position model. The record is from RNAcentral.
UACAGAGGGGGCAAGCGUUAUUCGGAAUUAUUGGGCGUAAAGGGCGCGUAGGCGGCUUUGCAAGUGGCGGGUGAAAUCCCUCGGCUUAACCGAGGAACUGCCUGUCAAACUGCAUGGCUUGAGACCAGGAGAGGUGAGUGGAAUUCCCAGUGUAGCGGUGAAAUGCGUAGAUAUUGGGAGGAACACCAGUGGCGAAGGCGGCUCACUGGACUGGUACUGACGCUGAUGCGCGAAAGCGUGGGGAGCAAACAGG